Molecule: transfer RNA, 109 nt
Filed under: Terriglobia bacterium
Lineage: Bacteria; Pseudomonadati; Acidobacteriota; Terriglobia
Description: tRNA-Ser
Rfam family: tRNA
About the family: Transfer RNA (tRNA) molecules are approximately 80 nucleotides in length. Their secondary structure includes four short double-helical elements and three loops (D, anti-codon, and T loops).
Source: RNAcentral
GGAGAGGUGGCUGAGUGGUCUAAGGCGGCCGGCUUGAACCCGGCAGGCGCUUCCGUCAGAUGCCUGACAUUACGAGCGUCCGAGGGUUCGACUCCCUCCCUCUCCGCCA